CUAAGAAUAUUCCGCAAUGGACGGAAGUCUGACGGAGCGACGCCGCGUGGAUGACGAAGGCCGAAAGGUUGUAAAGUUCUUUUGCUGGGGAAGAAUAACCGCAGGAGGGAAUGCCUGUGGGAUGACAAGAACCGGCGAAUAAGCCCCGGCCAACUACGUGCCAGCAGCCGCGGUAACACGUAGGGGGGCGAGCGUUGUUCGGAAUUACUGGGCGUAAAGGGCAUGUAGGCGGCCUGGAAAGCCUGGCGUGAAAGUCUGCAGCUUAACUGCAGGGGUGCGCUGGGAACUGCUGAGCUUGAGUGACGGAGAGGGAGCUGGAAUUCCUGGUGUAGGGGUGAAAUCUGUAGAUAUCAGGAAGAACACCGGUGGCGAAGGCAAGCUCCUGGCCGAUGACUGACGCUGAGGUGCGAAAGUGUGGGGAUCAAACAGGAUUAGAUACCCUGGUAGUCCACACAGUCAACGAUGUGCACUAGGUGCUGGGGCGGUAGCUUCGGUGCCGGAGCGAACGUGGUAAGUGCACCGCCUGGGGAGUAUGCUCGCAAGGGUGAAACUCAAAGGAAUUGACGGGGGUCAUAGCUG
Molecule: ribosomal RNA, 579 nt
Filed under: uncultured bacterium
Lineage: Bacteria
Description: partial 16S ribosomal RNA
Rfam family: Bacterial small subunit ribosomal RNA
Source: RNAcentral